AAUGAACGCUGGCGGCGCGCCUAAUACAUGCAAGUCGAGCGAGAAGACGUAGCAAUACGUUUGUAAAGCGGCGAACGGGUGAGGAAUACAUGGGUAACCUACCCUCGAGUGGGGAGUAACUAGCCGAAAGGUUAGCUAAUACCGCGUACGCUUCUUGGACUUCGGUUCAGGGAGGAAAGCGAUACCGUGGGUAUCGCGCUCUUGGAUGGGCUCAUGUCCUAUCAGCUUGUUGGUGAGGUAACGGCUCACCAAGGCUUCGACGGGUAGCUGGUCUGAGAGGACGAUCAGCCACACUGGCACUGCGACACGGGCCAGACUCCUACGGGAGGCAGCAGUAAGGAAUAUUGCGCAAUGGGCGAAAGCCUGACGCAGCGACGCCGCGUGGGGGAUGAAGGUCUUCGGAUUGUAAACCCC
Molecule: ribosomal RNA, 414 nt
Filed under: uncultured bacterium
Lineage: Bacteria
Description: bacterial SSU rRNA
Rfam family: Bacterial small subunit ribosomal RNA
Source: RNAcentral